Molecule: ribosomal RNA, 1809 nt
Filed under: Salmonella enterica subsp. enterica
Lineage: Bacteria; Pseudomonadati; Pseudomonadota; Gammaproteobacteria; Enterobacterales; Enterobacteriaceae
Description: partial 23S ribosomal RNA
Rfam family: Bacterial large subunit ribosomal RNA
Source: RNAcentral
GGGUUGUGAGGUUAAGCGACUAAGCGUACACGGUGGAUGCCCUGGCAGUCAGAGGCGAUGAAGGGCGUGCUAAUCUGCGAUAAGCGCCGGUAAGGUGAUAUGAACCGUUAUAACCGGCGAUACCCGAAUGGGGAAACCCAGUGUGAUUGGUCACACUAUCAUUAACUGAAUCCAUAGGUUAAUGAGGCGAACCGGGGGAACUGAAACAUCUAAGUACCCCGAGGAAAAGAAAUCAACCGAGAUUCCCCCAGUAGCGGCGAGCGAACGGGGAGGAGCCCAGAGCCUGAAUCAGCAUGUGUGUUAGUGGAAGCGUCUGGAAAGGCGCGCGAUACAGGGUGACAGCCCCGUACACAAAAGCGCAUGUGCUGUGAGCUCGAUGAGUAGGGCGGGACACGUGGUAUCCUGUCUGAAUAUGGGGGGACCAUCCUCCAAGGCUAAAUACUCCUGACUGACCGAUAGUGAACCAGUACCGUGAGGGAAAGGCGAAAAGAACCCCGGCGAGGGGAGUGAAAAAGAACCUGAAACCGUGUACGUACAAGCAGUGGGAGCACCCUUCGGGGUGUGACUGCGUACCUUUUGUAUAAUGGGUCAGCGACUUAUAUUCUGUAGCAAGGUUAACCGUAUAGGGGAGCCGGAGGGAAACCGAGUCUUAACCGGGCGUUAAGUUGCAGGGUAUAGACCCGAAACCCGGUGAUCUAGCCAUGGGCAGGUUGAAGGUUGGGUAACACUAACUGGAGGACCGAACCGACUAAUGUUGAAAAAUUAGCGGAUGACCUGUGGCUGGGGGUGAAAGGCCAAUCAAACCGGGAGAUAGCUGGUUCUCCCCGAAAGCUAUUUAGGUAGCGCCUCGUGAAUUCAUCUCCGGGGGUAGAGCACUGUUUCGGCUAGGGGGCCAUCCCGGCUUACCAACCCGAUGCAAACUGCGAAUACCGGAGAAUGUUAUCACGGGAGACACACGGCGGGUGCUAACGUCCGUCGUGAAGAGGGAAACAACCCAGACCGCCAGCUAAGGUCCCAAAGUCAUGGUUAAGUGGGAAACGAUGUGGGAAGGCCCAGACAGCCAGGAUGUUGGCUUAGAAGCAGCCAUCAUUUAAAGAAAGCGUAAUAGCUCACUGGUCGAGUCGGCCUGCGCGGAAGAUGUAACGGGGCUAAACCAUGCACCGAAGCUGCGGCAGCGAACGUAUCACCCAAGACAACUUUACGGAGUUGACGAUUGACGGAGCGAAGCGACGUCAAAGCGUUCAUUAAAGUCGAGUUGGCUUAGGGAUACGUUCGUUGGGUAGGGGAGCGUUCUGUAAGCCUGUGAAGGUGUGUCGUGAGGCAUGCUGGAGGUAUCAGAAGUGCGAAUGCUGACAUAAGUAACGAUAAAGCGGGUGAAAAGCCCGCUCGCCGGAAGACCAAGGGUUCCUGUCCAACGUUAAUCGGGGCAGGGUGAGUCGACCCCUAAGGCGAGGCCGAAAGGCGUAGUCGAUGGGAAACGGGUUAAUAUUCCCGUACUUGGUGUUACUGCGAAGGGGGGACGGAGAAGGCUAUGUUGGCCGGGCGACGGUUGUCCCGGUUUAAGGGUGUAGGUGUGUGUUCCAGGUAAAUCCGGUUCACUUUAACACUGAGGCGUGACGACGAGGCACUACGGUGCUGAAGCAACAAAUGCCCUGCUUCCAGGAAAAGCCUCUAAGCAUCAGGUAACAUCAAAUCGUACCCCAAACCGACACAGGUGGUCAGGUAGAGAAUACCAAGGCGCUUGAGAGAACUCGGGUGAAGGAACUAGGCAAAAUGGUGCCGUAACUUCGGGAGAAGGCACGCUGACAC